Molecule: non-coding RNA, 216 nt
Filed under: unclassified sequences
Description: IS605-orfB-I RNA
Rfam family: IS605-orfB-I RNA
Source: Rfam by way of RNAcentral
ACCUUAUACAGAUGUAGUGACGCAAGACAGUGACACAUCUCCCUGUAAGGUGGUGUUUAGAUAGAAGUAUAAGCGACAAGUUCUAUUGCGUGACUUUUCAGUCGAAAUAGAAUGAGCUUGUAUGGAGUAGGUUAACCGUAAGACCUUGAAUUGCAAAAUUCUAAAAUUGACCUAGAAAUGAAUUUCUCAAAUUUCCUUAUUUCUAGUUACGGUGAA